AAGCUGGUCUGUUUUAUGUUCAGUGUCACAGCCUUAUCCCUUUCACGUCCCUUACCCAUUUCAGUACCUCCUGCUGGAAAUCAGAGGAAGUUAUUGGCCAGAGAGUAGCUAGCACCUCAGAGGUACAAACACCUUGGGAUUGGAGGCUGUUCGUAACGCUGACAUGUUCAUAACCCUGCACAAAAAGUGACGGCUGUUCUUUCAAACGGAAAACAAAAACGUGUUCUUUCUGGAAUUAGUCUAUGGACCCCUGGGACUGUUUUUGGUUUCCUGUUACAGUUCCUGGAGGGUUCUUAAUCCUCCCAGGUUGUUACAGCCUGGGAACAGACUAAACAAGCCCAGUUCUCUCAGCCUCUCCUCGUAAGUCCAGCCCCCGAUCAUCUGAUCAAGAAGGCGAUCCUUCCCAAUAGUACUCACCGUCAUCAGAUAAGGAAACAGAUCUUAAGAUGUUUAGAGAAAACUUUGACAGCAUUCUGUCUGGCAAGAAACCACUGAUCAAUGGCUGUGGAUCGGUGAUAAAAAUACUGAGACGCGUGAGGCCUAGAAACAACCCAUGAGGAGUGUGACGGGUUGGACCCUUGGGAAGCCACCUGAAGUGCGAAGAUAUCACUGAGUCUACCUGUGCUGCCAGCCUGGGCCCCCUUUAACCUGUCUUGCUGAGCCAGGCCCUGAAAACCUCCCCUAACACACACAGGCAGGGCCACACCCAGCUACAGAUCAGCUCUGGGAAGACUCCGCUUAAGGGACUUGCUCCAGCCCUCGGAUGUCCACCUCCCUUGGAGUGCAGACCCAAAGGUAUAGUAUGAAAUUCGCCCCCUCCCUCAGCGUGGAGCGUGCACGCUUCUUACCCUCCCCCGUUAGACAUGACAGAAACGGGGUGGACACCCGCUCCUGCCCUGAAAGGCUUGAAAUCAGCCCUGAAAGAGGGCGGCAGUGGUGAAAGGUGGGCUGGUUGGGGAAGUGGCCGCAGCUGGGCCACACCCCAUCAGGCCACAGCUGGCCUGUAUAAAAAGGCUGGGAGCCAGGCACUCAGUAGCCUCUCUCUGUGUUCAGAGAGAGAAGGGCCUGGCUGCAGGGAGCGUAACCAGGUAUCUGGAGUGGAGCAGAGUUGGGGAAAGGCUAAGGGAGCUCCGGCCUAGGAAAGCUCCAGGCUGCAGGUCUAGGGUAAGGCCAAAGGGGCACUUGGAUUGCAGGGGGCAGCCCACGGGUAGGCAGAGGCAGCAAGGCCAAACCCCUUUGCCUGUGAUGAAUGGCUGAUACUGCAGUCUGCCCCUAGUGAACGGGGGCUAGAUGGAGACUGGGCAGUAGCCAAGACUGAGGCAAAGUGGGGAUAGUGGAUGGAGGUUCCCCUGGGAGGGGGAGACCCAGAGCUGUGAGGGGUUAUUGCCAGAGAGCAACACCCCAGACAACAGGGGUCUGGGAGGGACAUGGGGGGCCAAGUGGUAGCGGGACACUGGCCUGCAGAGGGUGCUCCAAUGGCUGGAGAGCUAAUUCCUGGAGAUGACCAGCAGGUGAGCCCCGCAUUGUCAGACUGGGUUUAAUAAUAAACCAAAAAAAUGUAUUCACUAUAAAAGGCAGAUUUUAAGUGGUCGAAGGGGUAACAAACAGAAUAAAGCAGAUUACUAAACAAAUGAAAUCAAACACGCAAACUAAGCUGGUUUCACUCAAGAAGUUGCUUACAAAUUUUAUUUCUCACCCUAGAUAUUGCUGUAGGCAGUUUGCCAAGCUUCUGUGGUUCAGAGUUCCAGUUAUAUUCCUUUUCAGACUGGCCCCGUCUCAGUCUGGACUCCCCCCUGGCUUUCCCUUUUGCAGUCUUUCUUCUUGGGCAGACAGGCCAGGGAGAGGAGGAAUCCAGUUUGCCUUCCUCCCCACCCUUAAAUAGGAUUUACAUAAGGCGGGAAUCCUUUGUUUCCCAAACUUGACGGCCCCCACCCCUUCCCUUACAGUGGAAAGUUACAAGAAGUCCCUGCUAAUGUUUUAGUAUCGGGUGACAAGACCACCUGCCCCUGUAGUAUCAGAGUCCAUGAGGCAGUGGUAGUGUGGAGAGUCUGCAGGAAGGCCAAGCUUGUCACAGUCCAUUGUCCUCGCUGAUGGGCCAUCCGCCCUGCCUGGCUUUUCCAUUGCUGUACCUGAAGUGUGAGCAGUGGGCGUCACCCGAAGUAGCGUAGUUGAAAUACAGAUACAGUCAGUAUUCCUCACUUCAGAUACAGAAAUGAUACAGGCAUACAAACUGGAUCAUCGCAUUCGGUAAAUCAUAACCUUUCCAAGGAGAUCUCACAUGAGCCAUCUGGCAUAAAGUACAUCUCAGUUAGGUCCUAUUCAUAUCAUAAGCAUAUUGUCAUAAAAAAUAUGGAAUGAUAUGGCAGUCAGGCCUAGGAACAACCCAUGAGGAGCCCCCUGGAAACACCCCCAUUCAGUGACAGAUUCCCCACUGAGAUCUGUCAGCUAGUCCGUUCUUGAUUUAUUUAACGUGCACUUUACUGAUGUUGUAUGGAGCUGCUUUUUUAAUCAGAAUGUCAUGCAGUUACCAAGUCAAACGCCUUACAAAAGUCUAAGUCUAUUACCCCCACACAGUUAACUUUAUCAAGUAAUUUGUAAUCUCCUCAAAGAAUUAAAUCAGGGUUGUUUGACAAGACCUAUUUGCCCUGUGUGACGAAGUGGGGGAUUUUCUUGUUUUCGGUGGGGUUUCAAUGGUUUGCACGCGGAGGGGGUUUCCCUGGGUGUUACUGGUUUAACGAGGGGAGGGGAGAGGGAGUUUGUUGUUACAGAGGACCGGAGAGGGAACGUGGGACCCCAGCCAGUGGCCUGGAGGAUGGACACCCCAGCGACUGGACCCGGAGACCCAGCUCAGGAAUCACAGACGGUUCUGGCCAGAGGGAGGACAAUGGCCUGCAGAGUGAGGAGCCAGUGACCUAACCAGCCAGUUUCAGCCAGAGGACAGAAGAGGGGAGAGGAGGCCCCAGUUUACAACCCUGUUUACCUGGAGAGAAGACAAAGGACAAAGGCGGGGCUUGGGGC
This is a long non-coding RNA of Chrysemys picta bellii (western painted turtle), 3018 nucleotides long. RefSeq lists it as uncharacterized. NCBI's taxonomy places the organism in Eukaryota, Metazoa, Chordata, Testudines, Emydidae. The record is from RefSeq and is a predicted model, not a curated record.